AGAUCAGCGUUGCUGCGGUGAAUACGUUCCCGGGCCUUGUACACACCGCCCGUCACGUCACGAAAGUCGGUAACACCCGAAGCCGGUGGCCCAACCCCCUUGUGGGGAGGGAGCUGUCGAAGGUGGGACUGGCGAUUGGGACGAAGUCGUAACAAGGUAGCCGUACCGGAAGGUGCGGCUGGAUCACCUCCUUU
This 194-nucleotide non-coding RNA is filed under the name Streptomyces afghaniensis 772. RNAcentral's name for it is "Bacterial small subunit ribosomal RNA". It matches the Rfam family "Bacterial small subunit ribosomal RNA", at positions 1346 to 1533 of the family's 1533-position model. Lineage: Bacteria; Bacillati; Actinomycetota; Actinomycetes; Kitasatosporales; Streptomycetaceae. The record is from Rfam by way of RNAcentral.